Molecule: long non-coding RNA, 4553 nt
Filed under: Musa acuminata (dwarf banana)
Lineage: Eukaryota; Viridiplantae; Streptophyta; Magnoliopsida; Zingiberales; Musaceae
Description: long non-coding RNA (MACU_LNC001665)
Source: RNAcentral
UUUGCGUGGACCCCAAGCAACCACCGGCCUUUAUAAAGCGGCCGAACCUCCUUUUCGUCGCCAUUCGAUCGGCGACGGGAAACCCGCCCUCGCUAGCACCCAGGAGCCGGAAAAUGCUGACGAUUAGAUCCCUUCCCACGGGAGCCGCUGGAGAAGAAAGGUAACAGUAGCCGUAUAAUUUUCUUUUUUUGCUUCAUUUGCCGAUCGAUACGCCUCUACUGGAUCCGAUCCAAAAUCUUGAUAUAUCAAGAUCUUGCAUAUUCUUUUCUCUUAUUCUUUCUCUGAUUCUGUUGAUCCUACUAUUUGUGGGUGACGUCUCGUGAAUUCUAUGUAAGGUUGAGCCAUUCCCCCUCCUUAGAAGCAAUAGAUCGAUCGACGUUUUAAACGAUUCAUUCGAUUCCAUGGAAUUUCUUUUAUCGAUCAUGGGUUUCUCUCUGGAUCUACAAAAAUGCAUUUGUUCUGUCUCCGAUGAAUCAAGGUAUUCGACUAUGUCCUCUCGGAUGUGUCUGGGUGAUGAUGAUGCGCUGCUUAACGAAGGUGUGGAAACGCCUUAUGGUUCGACCCGACUUAUGAGUUACAUAUCUUGACUAACAAUAGCUUCCUGUUCUUGUCUUAUCUGUGUUAAGGUCGGAGAAGCUGAAUUCUCCGUGGGUUCUCGUUUGUUGCCAUGUCUGUCCCUCGGAAAAUCCUGACAUUCUUCCAUUCAGUUGGGAAACCUGUUUUAUGCAUCUUCUUAUUUCUUUCUCUCUCUCUGCUCGUGCUCAUGCUUUGCAACAUUUCAUCUACGUGAGUUCAUCUGCAAAUGCAUUGUUCCUUACUCUGAUCUGAUCUUAGCUAUAUUUAUAUUUAUCUGUUAUGUUGUAAUGUUUUUCAAACACAUCUCAUGUAUGUCUUCACAAAGUAGUUCGUCACUGAGAUUAGGAUUGACCGAGUGAAGGAAGGCAUCACUUAUCUAACGUCUUGACCAACAAUGAGUGUGAUGUCUUUGUAUUUUGCCCUUUGCUAGUAGAUUUCACUAUUCCAGUACUUACAUCUAAUAAAUCCCCACAACUUCGAGAUACCUUGAUGUGUAUAGCCACCAUGGGGAUAACUAGUUUUGGUGGGAAAAUCUAGAGAAUAACCUAGACAUUAUCGUAAUUUUUUCUUAUAUUACCUGGGAUGUUCUUUUUUAUCUUUUUAACUCAUGGCAUACUGUAAUUGGUUUCAGAACCCCGAGAGAGGAAUGGGAUUGGUUAGAUGUUAUCAAGUCUAUGAAAUUUGCGGAAGUCAGAGACGAUCUAAAUCAUUGCAUUGCUUGAUAUGCUGGAAAUUAUUUGCAACCAAACAUAAAGUUUCUUGAUAAGAGAUCAUUAGUUCAUCUUUAUCAAAUUGUGAGACCUUUUUUUUUUUGUUGUUAGAGGUAUUUCACUUAUAAAAUAAUUCUAUGGAUCAGCACUACAAAGUUAAAUAAAAUGUUCUUAUUCUUGUUUGAAGCUACCAUAGCUUCCCAUAUAUUAAUACAAAAUCAGCAUUUAUAUAGCUUCUAAACGAUGAAAAAAUUUUGGUUCUACUGUAUCCAAAAGUGUGAAUAUAUGACUUGGUGCAUUCAGAUUUCUGUCGUAUUCAGCGGUAUUGCUCAUCUGUUUUGUAUGUCAGGUUCGUGUACAUAUGAAAUUUUUUAGGAUUUUAUUUGGUGUCCUCUAACCACAAAUAGAACUAUAGUUUUAGAAAGUAACUUCGAGUUGGGGAAAACCCAAAUAGAACUAUAUUUGGAUGGAUGACUUCUUAGAAUAUUUUAAUGUUAAGUUCAACUUAUUUUGACAUAAUAAAAUAGGAAAAUUCUGUUCUGAGUUUGUAUGUCUCAGUGUACAUGUUUAUUUUCCCCACUGCUGCCACAAAUGACAUCAGAAUUUCAUAUCUGGCACUGAUUUAUUCCUUUCUAAUGCUUUUCAUUCUUUCUCCUUCACUUGAACUUAAUCUCUUACAUUUCAAGACCACUUGUCCUGACCUUGAAGAUGUAGCUGAAUAUCAAAAAGCUACAUGUUUUAGAGACAUAUUUUGUUUGGCUAUGUGAGUUCAAGAAUACAAUUGGUGGAAACAUUGCUACCAUUGAUGAGUAACAUCAUACCACAAUUUAUCCAUAACAAUUCUAUAUAUUUCUUAUCUUAGUUCACUUGCAUGUGUUGUUUAAAUUUUUAUUUGUUGCACCAUUACCUACCUUUGUUAGAUGCUUUUCUAAGAGAACCUGGAGCAUGAAACGGUGCAUUUAUAGGAUGUAAAUGAUUGACAACAUAGGUAACUAGAGCAGAACUGGAAUCAGACUGUCCGGCUAGUGGUAUGAUUUAGAUCGAUUGAACAGUCUGAUUGGGUUGGUCAUAUGGGAACCAAUACAUAAAAUAAAUCUAAAUUCAAAACUAGAAUUUUAAUCAGGCCAGUAAAUAUAAUAAUAUAGUUGCAGUAAAUUAUAAUGUGCUUAAUCUGAAAAUAUACAUUUAGUUUGUUUAUUUAAGUCGGACUAGAAUACUAUGUGAUCGAACAGCUUAAAAGCUUCACUUCCAAUCAUGUCUUAGUUCUUCCAAUCCACUCUGAUUACACAAGUCGGCUCAUACUAAGAUAUUUAAUUUAUAUGAUUUGAUUUAUUAAUUCUGACUAGGUUAGCGUUAGUUGACCGCUUAGUAUUCCAUCAUACUGAUUAGAUAUAGAGGGCAAGGAGGAGAGGACGAGAAGAGGAUUGAAGGAGGUGGUGGCAGCAACGGAGGAGUACCGAUUUUUAACAUGGGAUCUAAAUUGCAUGGGAUCUUAACAUAUAGGUGUGUAAGUUUGUUAACGAUAUGAUAUUUUUAGAUAAUAAGAUCCAACUAAAUUGUUAUAUAUACAAUACAAAUCCUGUUGGUUCUUAUGGGUUUUUCAUUAUUUUGUCACCUUUUAGGAUAAGAUAUUAAUCGUACUAGACCUACACGUCGAAACUUCUAUCUUUAAAAUAAUGCUCUAAAUUUUGACAAAGGUGGAUGUCGUGUUUGUAAUCUUAAAAAAAGUUGGAUAUUAUGUGGAUAGAGUAUGACAUCUGUUGUGUUGACCCUUCGACUGGAAUGAUUUUUUUUUGUCUCCCAGAUGUAGUAAUCGAUCGCUAUCUGUUCAAUUGGCAAAAAGUGUCAUUAUAAUUGUUCUCGUAAUCAAAGAUUCAUUGCACUUUGUAUUUACCAAACAGCUGCUUAAAUAUUUAAAUUGUGUCCUACCAAGCUCGAGAUAACUAGCUGCAGUAUGCACCAUGUUUACAAGGGAGACGGAAGAAGCAGUAGUCACUUCUCUUUCUAAGAUUAGAUCGCUAAAACUGCAACAGCAAGCUACUUAUUUGUUUUUGUACGGGUUGAAUUGUUUAUCAAAAUUGUACUUUCUUCAGGUUGAAUCAGACCUCUUUGAGAACGAAUAAUUGCAAAGGAGAGCUGGCUUCAUUAGGGUAAAUAACUGCCAAUAAUAGGUUCGGCGCUUAAUUCCUCUUAUUUAUUUGGAUGCAUUAUUCAGUAUAUCAUUUUUUUUUUUUAUGGUUCUGCUUGCUUGAGGGCUAUCACACCUUAAAAAAAAAUAUAAGAACAACGCUUAACUCAUGGGGCACUCGAAAACUUAUUUUAUAUUCGUUUGUUUGGUUUUUCCGGCGAUUCUUCUUCUUAUUCUUCUGUUUUUUUUUUUAUCGUCCCGAAAAAACAAAUGAUCCAUCUUGGAACUGCUUCGCGAAAAUGAAAAUGAUAUUUUACUUGGACUGGAUCACCUCGGUUAACAUUUUGGUGUGGUGCGUACCUGGCAUCCACGAGUCGGUGUGGGAGGCGACAUCGCAGUCCGCUACAUCACCUGACGCCUGAGGUGUCAUUUUGUCCACUAAUUAGCAGUAAUCAUCGCCCUGAAAAUUUACAGGGGUGAUUCGGUACACCUGUAGCGGUACUUUUGUAGCUAUCAAAGAGCCUCGUUAGUUCUACUGUCAAAUUUCCAUGUCAUCCGUGUGUCCCUCGAUUGAGUGCUGAUGCAGUCGUAUGAAUGGAGCCGGUGGACAACGUCUUAUCCGUUUCUUUUAAGAACUACCCACGUGAGAUGUAAUUUAGACAAGGAAACCUGACCACUUGCGUUAUUUUUCUAGUGUUCUAUUUGUUAACCAUCUUAGAAAAUUUUGCUUGGCUGCGCAUUCCAAGAUCCGAUCAAAUGGCUGUCAAUGGCGGGACCCAUCCGUCCGACAAUAUGAUGCAUGUUAUGGACCCGGGCGACCUAAAGCCACUCCGAUGUGCUUUGAUUCGGCUCGAAGUUCCCGGUACGUGCUUCGAGCUACUCAAAAUCUUCCGGCUCACCCACUAUGGUGGGUGGCAAACGCAACGCUUAAAAAGUAUAAUUCUGAGGAUAUUAUACUUUUAAACAGACAAUGUUGGUUCUCACGUCGGUUCCAAAUUAAAGCUCUGCUGUGACGUCAGUAGCCUCGUGUCAGUGGUCCUGCUGCCAAGGCUUAGGUUCCGUGGGGUCGACAGAUCCUUGUUUUUGUUCGAGCUGAUGUGACUGCAUGGGGAUGAGCCCAUGAGAGGGGACCACGCUCU